This 2606-nucleotide ribosomal RNA is filed under the name Drosophila erecta. RNAcentral's name for it is "eukaryotic LSU rRNA". The stretch from base 533 to 2606 matches the Rfam family "Eukaryotic large subunit ribosomal RNA", at positions 1 to 1917 of the family's 3401-position model. Lineage: Eukaryota; Metazoa; Arthropoda; Insecta; Diptera; Drosophilidae. The record is from RNAcentral.
AAAACUCUAAGCGGUGGAUCAGUCGGCUCAUAGGUCGAUGAAGAACGCAACAAACUGUGCGUCAUCGUGUGAACUGCAGGACACAUGAACAUCGACAUUUUGAACGCAUAUCGCAGUCCAUGCUGUAAGACUAUGUAGUAAGACUACGCUAAUUAAGUUGUUUAUAAAUUUUAUAAGCAAAUGGUAUAUUAUUGGAUAAAAUAAUAAAAAUAUUUUUAUUCAUAAUAUUAAAAAAUAUAUAUGAAAAACAUUAUCUCACAUUUGGAUGUGAAAAACGAAUAGAAAUAUUUUCUUUUUCGAUCAAGUAAUACUGAGAAAUGUCUAGCAUAAAAAAUUUAAUUAUUUUUCAUCUAGAAUUGUCUCUUAUUAAUGAUUCGGAAAUAUAAAAAACUUGGUUGUUAUUAUUCUUCGUUGGUUCGUUUAAUGGAAAACACUUUGCUACAAGAAAUAAUGGAAAUUUUAUAACAAAUUUAAUAAAAUGUUUUUAUCAAGAAUUAAUUAUAAAGAAUUAAUGGCAAGAAAAAGUUAUAUACAACCUUAACUCUCAUGGGACUACCCCCUGAAUUUAAGCAUAUUAAUUAGGGGAGGAAAAGACUCUAACAAGGAUUUUCUUAGUAGCGGCGAGCGAAAAGAAAACAGUUCAGCAUUAAGUCACUUUGUCUAUAUGGCAAAUGUGAGAUGCAGUGUAUUUAGCGUCAAUAUUCUAGUAUGAGAAAUUAACGAUUUAAUGAUUUACCCAUAGAGGGUGCCAGGCCCAUAUAACGUUAAUGAAUACUAGAUGAUGUUUCCAAAGAGUCGUGCUGCUUGAUAGUGCAGCACUAAGUGGGUGGUAAACUCCAUCUAAAACUAAAUAUAACCAUGAGACCCAUAGUAAACAAGUACCGUUAGGGGAAAGUUGAAAAUAACUCUGAAUAGAUAGUUAAACAGUACGUGAAAUGCUUAGAGGUUAAGCCCGAUGAACCUGAAUAUCAGUUAUGUAAAAUUCAUCAAUAAAAUUGUAUUAUUUAAAUAAUAUUAUGGGAUAGUGUGCAUUUUUUGGAUAUAAGGACAUUGUAAUCUAUUAGCAUAUACAAAAUUUAUCAUAAAAUAUAACUUAUAGUUAUAAUUUUAUAAUGGCUUUGAUUUUUGUGUUUAUUAUAUGCACUUGUAUGAAUAACAAUGCGAAAGAUUCAGGAUACCUUCGGGACCCGGUUUGAAACACGGACCAAGUCUAACAUAUCUAUGUCUAACAUAUAUGCAAGUUAUUGGAAUAUAUACCUAAUAGCGUAAUUAACUUGACUAAUAAUGGGAUUAGUUUUUUAACUAUUUAUAGCUAAUUAACACAAUCCCGGGGCGUUCUAUAUAGUUAUUUAUAAUGUAUAUUUAUAUUAUUUAUGCCUCUUACUGGAACGUACCUUGAGCAUAUAUGCUGUGACCCGAAAGAUGGUGAACUAUACGUGAUCAGGUUGAAGUCAGGGGAAACCCUGAUGGAAGACCGAAAUAUUUCUGACUUGCAAAUCGCUUGCCAGAAUUGAGUAUAGGGGCAAAAGACCAAUCGAACCAUCUAGUAGCUGGUUCCUUCCGAAGUUUCCCUCAGGAUAGCUGGUGCAUUUUAAUAUUAUAUAAAAUAAUCUUAUCUGGUAAAGCGAAUGAUUAUAGGCCUUACGAUCGAAACGAUCUUAACCUAUUCUCAAACUUUAACUGGGUAAGAACCUUAACUUUCUUGAUAUGUAGUUCAAGGUUAUGAUAUAAUGUGCCCAGUGGGCCACUUUUGGUAAGCAGAACUGGCGUGGGAUGAACCAAACGUAAUGUUACGGUGCCCAAAUUAACAACUCAUGCAGAUACCAUGAAAGGCGUUGGUUGCUUAAAACAGCAAGACGGUGAUCAUGGAAGUCGAAAUCCGCUAAGGAGUGUGUAACAACUCACCUGCCGAAGCAACUAGCCCUUAAAAUGGAUGGCGCUUAAGUUGUAUACCUAUACAUUACCGCUAAAGUAGAUGAUUUCUAUUACUUGUGAUAUAAAUUUUGAAACUUUAGUGAGUAGGAAGGUACAAUGGUAAGCGUAUAAGUGUUUGGCGUAAGCCUGCAUGGACCUGCCAUUGGUACAGAUCUUGGUGGUAGUAGCAAAUAAUCGAAUGAGACCUUGGAGGACUGAAGUGGAGAAGGGUUUCGUGUGAACAGUGGUUGAUCAGGAGUUAGUCGGUCCCAAGUUCAAGGCGAAAGCCGAAAAUUUUCAAGUAAAACAAAAAUGCCAAAUUAUAUAAACAAAGCGAAAAUAAUACACUUGAAUAAUUUUGAACGAAAGGGAAUAUGGUUCCAAUUCCGUAACCUGUUGAGUAUCCUUUUGUUAUGGGUCUCGUGCUCAUCCUGGCAACAGGAACGACCAUAAAAAAGCCGUCGAGAGAUAUCGGAAGAGUUUUUCUUGCUGUACUACGAUGGAAGUCUUUCGCAGAGAGAUAUGGUAGAUGGGCUAGAAGACCAUGACAUAUACUGUUGUGUCGAUAUUUUCUCCUCGGACCUUGAAAAUUUAUGAUACGCAACCUUCUCAACAGGCCGUACCAAUAUCCGCAGCUGGUCUCCAAGGUGAAGAGUCUAUGUCAACAGAAUAAUGUAGGUAAGGGAAGUCGG